RNAcentral lists this non-coding RNA (28 nucleotides) under Homo sapiens (human). Lineage: Eukaryota; Metazoa; Chordata; Mammalia; Primates; Hominidae. The record is from RNAcentral.
UCAGAGAGUGCAUCUGUUGGUCACAGGU